UACAGAGGUCUCGAGCGUUGUUCGGAUUCAUUGGGCGUAAAGGGUGCGUAGGUGGCGCCGUAAGUCGGGUGUGAAAUUUCGGAGCUUAACUCCGAAACUGCAUUCGAUACUGCGGUGCUUGAGGACUGGAGAGGAGACUGGAAUUCUCGGUGUAGCGGUGAAAUGCGUAGAUAUCGAGAGGAACACCUGCGGCGAAGGCGGGUUGCUGGGCUGAUACUGACGCUGAUGCGCGAAAGCCAGGGGAGCGAACGGG
RNAcentral lists this ribosomal RNA (253 nucleotides) under uncultured bacterium. Its description in RNAcentral is "partial 16S ribosomal RNA". It matches the Rfam family "Bacterial small subunit ribosomal RNA", at positions 524 to 776 of the family's 1533-position model. The record is from RNAcentral.